AGUGAACGCUGGCGGUAGGCCUAACACAUGCAAGUCGAACGGCAGCACAGUAAGAGCUUGCUCUUACGGGUGGCGGGUGGCGGACGGGUGAGGAAUACAUCGGAAUCUACUUUUUCGUGGGGGAUAACGUAGGGAAACUUGCGCUAAUACCGCAUACGACCUACGGGUGAAAGCAGGGGAUCUUCGGACCUUGCGCGAUUGAAUGAGCCGAUGUCGGAUUAGCUAGUUGGCGGGGUAAAGGCCCACCAAGGCGACGAUCCGUAGCUGGUCUGAGAGGAUGAUCAGCCACACUGGAACUGAGACACGGUCCAGACUCCUACGGGAGGCAGCAGUGGGGAAUAUUGGACAAUGGGCGCAAGCCUGAUCCAGCCAUACCGCGUGGGUGAAGAAGGCCUUCGGGUUGUAAAGCCCUUUUGUUGGGAAAGAAAAGCAGCAGGUUAAUACCCCGCUGUUCUGACGGUACCCAAAGAAUAAGCACCGGCUAACUUCGUG
RNAcentral lists this ribosomal RNA (492 nucleotides) under uncultured bacterium. RNAcentral's name for it is "partial 16S ribosomal RNA". It matches the Rfam family "Bacterial small subunit ribosomal RNA", at positions 29 to 507 of the family's 1533-position model. The record is from RNAcentral.